UAACCUGCCCCAGACUCCGGGAUAAGCCUUGGAAACGAGGUCUAAUACUGGAUACGAGAUGCCCCUGCAUGGGGAGUGUCUGGAAAGAUUUAUCGGUCUGGGAUGGACUCGCGGCCUAUCAGCUUGUUGGUGGGGUAAUGGCCUACCAAGGCGACGACGGGUAGCCGGCCUGAGAGGCGACCGGCUUAACUGGGACUGAGACACGGCCCAGACUAAUACGGGAGGCAGCAGUGGGGAAUAUUGCACAAUGGGCGAAAGCCUGAUGCAGCGACGCCGCGUGAGGGAUGAAGGCCUUCGGGUUGUAAACCUCUUUCAGCAGGGAAGAAGCGCAAGUGACGGUACCUGCAGAAGAAGCGCCGGCUAACUACGUGCCAGCAGCCGCGGUAAUACGUAGGGCGCAAGCGUUGUCCGGAAUUAUUGGGCGUAAAGAGCUCGUAGGCGGUUUGUCGCGUCUGGUGUGAAAACUCAAGGCUCAACCUUGAGCUUGCAUCGGGUACGGGCAGACUAGAGUGCGGUAGGGGUGACUGGAAUUCCUG
This 536-nucleotide ribosomal RNA is filed under the name Oerskovia sp. SAUK6045. RNAcentral describes it as "bacterial SSU rRNA". It matches the Rfam family "Bacterial small subunit ribosomal RNA", at positions 122 to 672 of the family's 1533-position model. The record is from RNAcentral. Lineage: Bacteria; Bacillati; Actinomycetota; Actinomycetes; Micrococcales; Cellulomonadaceae.